CAGUAGCCACGGUAAUACGAAGGGGGCUAGCGUUGCUCGGAAUGACUGGGCGUAAAGGGCGCGUAGGCGGAUUGUUUAGUUAGGCGUGAAAUUCCUGGGCUUAACCUGGGGACUGCGCUUAAUACAGGCAGUCUAGAGUGAGGAGGAGGGUUGUGGAAUUCCCAGUGUAGAGGUGAAAUUCGUAGAUAUUGGGAAGAACACCGGUGGCGAAGGCGGCUCACUGGCUCAUACUGGACGCUGAGGCGCGAAAGCGUGGGGAGCAAACAGGAUUAGAUACCCGUGUAGUCCCUGUCUCUUAUAC
This 301-nucleotide ribosomal RNA is filed under the name uncultured bacterium. Its description in RNAcentral is "partial 16S ribosomal RNA". It matches the Rfam family "Bacterial small subunit ribosomal RNA", at positions 509 to 807 of the family's 1533-position model. The record is from RNAcentral.